RNAcentral lists this ribosomal RNA (515 nucleotides) under uncultured bacterium. Its description in RNAcentral is "partial 16S ribosomal RNA". It matches the Rfam family "Bacterial small subunit ribosomal RNA", at positions 28 to 523 of the family's 1533-position model. The record is from RNAcentral.
GAUGAACGCUGGCGGCGUGCCUAAUACAUGCAAGUCGAGCGAAUGGAUUAAGAGCUUGCUCUUAUGAAGUUAGCGGCGGACGGGUGAGUAACACGUGAGUAACCUGCCCAUAAGACUGGGAUAACUCCGGGAAACCGGGGCUAAUACCGGAUAACAUUUUGAACCGCAUGGUUCGAAAUUGAAAGGCGGCUUCGGCUGUGACUUAUGGAUGGACGCGCGUCGCAUUAGCUAGUUGGUGAGGUAACGGCUCACCAAGGCAACGAUGCGUAGCCGACCUGAGAGGGUGAUCGGCCACACUGGGACUGAGACACGGCCCAGACUCCUACGGGAGGCAGCAGUAGGGAAUCUUCCGCAAUGGACGAAAGUCUGACGGAGCAACGCCGCGUGAGUGAUGAAGGCUUUCGGGUCGUAAAACUCUGUUGUUAGGGAAGAACAAGUGCUAGUUGAAUAAGCUGGCACCUUGACGGUACCUAACCAGAAAGCCACGGCUAACUACGUGCCAGCAGCCGCCGUAA